UGAACGCUGGCGGCGUGCUUAACACAUGCAAGUCGAACGGAGCUUAAGAAGGAAGCUUGCUUCUAUUUAAGCUUAGGUGGCGGACGGGUGAGUAACGCGUGAGACAACCUGCCUCGAGUGGGGAAUAACAUCGAGAAAUCGGUGCUAAUACCGCAUAAUAUCGGGAAUUCGCAUGUUUUUCCGAUCAAAGGAUUUAUUCGCUUGAGGAUGGGCUCGCGUCCGAUUAGCUAGUUGGUGAGGUAACGGCCCACCAAGGCGACGAUCGGUAGCCGAACUGAGAGGUUGAUCGGCCACAUUGGGACUGAGACACGGCCCAGACUCCUACGGGAGGCAGCAGUGGGGAAUAUUGGGCAAUGGGCGAAAAAGCCUGACCCAGCAACGCCGCGUGAAGGAUUGAAGGUCUUCGGAUUGUAAACUUCUUUGAUUGGGGAAGAAUAAAUGACCUACCCAAAGAACAAGCCACGGCUAACUACGUGCCAGCCGCCGC
RNAcentral lists this ribosomal RNA (487 nucleotides) under uncultured bacterium. RNAcentral's name for it is "bacterial SSU rRNA". It matches the Rfam family "Bacterial small subunit ribosomal RNA", at positions 30 to 518 of the family's 1533-position model. The record is from RNAcentral.